CCUACGGGAGGCAGCAGUGAGGAAUAUUGGUCAAUGGACGAGAGUCUGAACCAGCCAAGUAGCGUGAAGGAUGACUGCCCUAUGGGUUGUAAACUUCUUUUAUAUGGGAAUAAAACGUUCCACGUGUGGGAUUUUGUAUGUACCAUAUGAAUAAGGAUCGGCUAACUCCGUGCCAGCAGCCGCGGUAAUACGUAGGAUCCGAGCGUUAUCCGGAUUUAUUGGGUUUAAAGGGAGCGUAGGUGGAUUGUUAAGUCAGUUGUGAAAGUUUGCGGCUCAACCGUAAAAUUGCAGUUGAAACUGGCAGUCUUGAGUACAGUAGAGGUGGGCGGAAUUCGUGGUGUAGCGGUGAAAUGCUUAGAUAUCACGAAGAACUCCGAUUGCGAAGGCAGUUCACUGGACUGCAACUGACACUGAGGCUCGAAAGUGUGGGUAUCAAACAGGAUUAGAUACCCUAGUAGUC
Molecule: ribosomal RNA, 460 nt
Filed under: uncultured bacterium
Lineage: Bacteria
Description: partial 16S ribosomal RNA
Rfam family: Bacterial small subunit ribosomal RNA
Source: RNAcentral